Non-coding RNA from Vicia faba (fava bean), 327 nucleotides. The record is from the annotation of a GenBank genome assembly. NCBI's taxonomy places the organism in Eukaryota, Viridiplantae, Streptophyta, Magnoliopsida, Fabales, Fabaceae.
AUGACCAAAAAUACUUCUAAUUUUUCCAUCAUUCUUCUGUUUCACUCUAGUCUCAAGAAAAGCUACACAAGGCACAUGGAAGUUCUUGAGAUGGGCUUUUAUCUCAAGAAUCCAAACACGAAGCACGCGGAAUCCAAACGCGGAGCAGAAUUGUUCCACAUUUUCUUCUAUUAUGAAUCAUUCACGAAGUCAAACCAAAUACGAAGCAUAAUCAUUCUGAAUUUCUUCUGUUGUGAAUCGUUCACGAAAUUUCGUUCGAUUCAAUUUGGCGGUGGGAAGAAGGUUUUGAAAGCAUUCCUUAUCAAAACAGUCAAAUAUGGCUACUGA